UACGUAGGUGGCAAGCGUUAUCCGGAUUUAUUGGGUUUAAAGGGUGCGUAGGCGGGAUGCCAAGUCAGCGGUAAAAAUGCGGUGCUCAACGCCGUCGAGCCGUUGAAACUGGCGUUCUUGAGUGGGCGAGAAGUAUGCGGAAUGCGUGGUGUAGCGGUGAAAUGCAUAGAUAUCACGCAGAACUCCGAUUGCGAAGGCAGCGUACCGGCGCCAGACUGACGCUGAGGCACGAAAGCGUGGGGAUCGAACAGG
RNAcentral lists this ribosomal RNA (252 nucleotides) under uncultured Bacteroidales bacterium. RNAcentral's name for it is "partial 16S ribosomal RNA". It matches the Rfam family "Bacterial small subunit ribosomal RNA", at positions 524 to 776 of the family's 1533-position model. The record is from RNAcentral. Lineage: Bacteria; Pseudomonadati; Bacteroidota; Bacteroidia; Bacteroidales.